UGUUCGGGAGAUAUUUGCUAGCUGGAUUCCACCCCUGCUGACAGUGUGUGCCCUGGCGAUGGAGCAGUGUCCUUGUUGCAGAUUUGAACCACUUUCACCUCGUAAACAGCAGCUGGUGAGAGGAAUGGACUUGCACAUUCAUUCGUUUUACAAAUGAAGAAACUGAAGCACAGAGAAGGAAGGAAUGAUUUGUGCAGGAGGUGGUAUUUGAGAUACUCAUCAUUUUCUCUCAUUACCCACAUUUGUUUCUACUCCUGUAGUAGUUUGGUUAAAGGCAAUAGACUCCUUGUUCCUUAUAUUGUGCCUUUUUGUGAUGUGACUUCGCUCUUCUUCCCAAUCAAAAGUGGAAUUUAUUUCUUCCACCCCUUAAAUCUGGACUGGGCUUGUGACUUGAUUUGGUUAAUAUAAUGCAGCAUAUGUGAGGUCGUGCGAUUUCUAAGGCUUGGUCUUUAGAGAUUGUGUCUUCUGCCUUUAUACUCUUGGAAUGCUGCCUUGAGACCACCAUGUAAGCUGGUCUAGCCUACUAGUGGAUGAGAGGUCACAUGCAGAAAAACUGGGGUGCCAGUCCUCAGCUGGCACUGAUUGCCAGACUUAUGAAUAAGGACAUCUUAGACCUUCCAGGCCAGCAGCCCUUCCAACUGAAUGCAGCUCCUGAAUGAUCGCAGGUGAAACCAGCAAAGGAGGCAGUUAGCCACUCACAGAAUUAUGAGAAAUAGUGAAUUAUUGCUGUUUUAAGCCACUAAACUUUUGGGAGUGUUUUUUAAAUGCAGCAAUAGAUAACAGAAACAACUUCUUUGCUUCCUGUUUCAGUAAAUGGUUUUAUUAUCUACCUGGUUGUUUAGGCUGGUGCCCUUUUCUUUAUAUCUCACAUUUAAUCUGUCACCAAGUCCAGGGAACUUUACCUCCUAAAUAUAUAUCAAAUCCCUCUGCUUUCUACCUUUCCCAUUGCUAUGACAUUAGCUCAGGUCCUAGUCAUCUCUUAUCUAGAUUAUUACAGCAAUCUCUAUUGUUUUCUCUGUCUCCUAUCUCUCUGCUCCCUAUCCUUCCCAUCCAAUCUGUUGUAUUCCCCUGCCACAGGCAGAGCUAUCUUUCUCACAAGAAUAUGUAACCAUGUUACUCCAUUGCUUAAAAUCUUUUUGUUUGCAAGGUAAGCUCCCAAAUCCCUAAUAUGAUGUACAAGGCCUUGGACCAUCUGGCCUCUUCUUCUCUUUCCUCCCCGAUCUUC
RNAcentral lists this long non-coding RNA (1225 nucleotides) under Homo sapiens (human). RNAcentral's name for it is "HSALNT0006790". Lineage: Eukaryota; Metazoa; Chordata; Mammalia; Primates; Hominidae. The record is from RNAcentral.